AGGACGAACGCUGGCGGCGUGCUUAACACAUGCAAGUCGAGCGGAAAGGCCCUUCGGGGUACUCGAGCGGCGAACGGGUGAGUAACACGUGAGCAACCUGCCCUUAGCUUCGGGAUAGCUCCGGGAAACCGGAAUUAAUACCGAAUAUGACUUUGGCUGACAUCAGCAGAAGUGGAAAGUUUUUCGGCUAGGGAUGGACUCGCGGCCUAUCAGCUAGUUGGUGAGGUAACGGCCCACCAAGGCGACGACGGGUAGCCGGCCUGAGAGGGCGACCGGCCACACUGGGACUGAGACACGGCCCAGACUCCUACGGGAGGCAGCAGUGGGGAAUAUUGCGCAAUGGGCGAAAGCCUGACGCAGCGACGCCGCGUGGGGGAUGAAUGCCUUCGGGUUGUAAACCCCUUUCAGCAGGGACGAAGCGAAAGUGACGGUACCUGCAGAAGAGCGCCGGCUAACUACGCGCCAGCGAGCCGC
This 474-nucleotide ribosomal RNA is filed under the name uncultured bacterium. RNAcentral's name for it is "SSU rRNA". It matches the Rfam family "Bacterial small subunit ribosomal RNA", at positions 26 to 518 of the family's 1533-position model. The record is from RNAcentral.